Molecule: ribosomal RNA, 448 nt
Filed under: uncultured bacterium
Lineage: Bacteria
Description: partial 16S ribosomal RNA
Rfam family: Bacterial small subunit ribosomal RNA
Source: RNAcentral
CCCAGACUCCUACGGGAGGCAGCAGUGGGGGAUAUUGCACAAUGGGGGGAACCCUGAUGCAGCGACGCCGCGUGGGUGAAGGAGCGUUUCGGCGCGUAAAGCCCUAUCGGCAGGGAAGAAGGAGGACGGUACCUGACUAAGAAGCCCCGGCUAACUACGUGCCAGCAGCCGCGGUAAUACGUAGGGGGCAAGCGUUAUCCGGAUUUACUGGGUGUAAAGGGGGCGCAGACGGCAGCGCAAGCCAGGAGUGAAAGCCCGGGGCCCAACCCCGGGACUGCUCUUGGAACUGCGCGGCUGGAGUGCAGGAGGGGCAGGCGGAAUUCCUGGUGUAGCGGUGAAAUGCGUAGAUAUCAGGAGGAACACCGGUGGCGAAGGCGGCCUGCUGGACUGCGACUGACGUUGAGGCCCGAAAGCGUGGGGAGCAAACAGGAUUAGAUACCCGUGUAUG